This 253-nucleotide ribosomal RNA is filed under the name uncultured bacterium. Its description in RNAcentral is "partial 16S ribosomal RNA". It matches the Rfam family "Bacterial small subunit ribosomal RNA", at positions 524 to 776 of the family's 1533-position model. The record is from RNAcentral.
UACAGAGGGUGCGAGCGUUAAUCGGAAUUACUGGGCGUAAAGCGCACGUAGGCGGCUUGGUAUGUCGGGUGUGAAAUCCCCGGGCUCAACCUGGGAACUGCAUCCGAAACUGCCUUGCUAGAGUAUGGGAGAGGGAAGUGGAAUUUCCGGUGUAGCGGUGAAAUGCGCAGAUAUCAGGAGGAACACCGGUGGCGAAGGCGGGUCUCUGGGCCGAUACUGACGCUGAGGAGCGAAAGCGUGGGGAGCGAACAGG